This 255-nucleotide ribosomal RNA is filed under the name uncultured bacterium. RNAcentral's name for it is "partial 16S ribosomal RNA". It matches the Rfam family "Bacterial small subunit ribosomal RNA", at positions 796 to 1041 of the family's 1533-position model. The record is from RNAcentral.
CUAGCCGUAAACGAUGCCUACUAGGUCGGAGUCUCUCUGACGGGAUUUCGGCCGAAAUUAAAACGUUAAGUAGGCCGCCUGGGGAGUACGGUCGCAAGGCUAAAACUCAAAGGAAUUGACGGGGGCUCACACAAGCGGUGGAGCAUGUUGCUUAAUUCGAUGCAACGCGAAGAACCUUAUCCUGGGCUUGACAUGCUUGGAUGCCUACCUGGAAACAGAUUAGGUUGCCCUUCGGGGUGAAACUUGCACAGGUGC